Molecule: ribosomal RNA, 408 nt
Filed under: uncultured bacterium
Lineage: Bacteria
Description: partial 16S ribosomal RNA
Rfam family: Bacterial small subunit ribosomal RNA
Source: RNAcentral
AGUGAACGCUGGCGGCGUGCCUAAUACAUGCAAGUCGAACGAAGUGGCGCACGGGUGAGUAAUAUAUAGUUAAUCUGCCCUACACAGAGGAACAACAGUUGGAAACGCCUGCUAAUACCUCAUAGGGCAGGAUGAGACUAUAUCGUAUCAGCUAGUUGGUAAGGUAAUGGCUUACCAAGGCUAUGACGCGUAACUGGUCGGAGAGGAUGAGCAGUCAAAUUCGACCUGAGACACGGUUCAAAAUCCUACGGGAAGGAGCAGUAAGGAAUAUUGGGCAAUGGGCGAAAGUCUGACGCAGCAACGCCGCGUGGAGGAUGACACUUUUCGGAGCGUAAACUCCUUUUAUCAGGAAAGCGGUACCUGAUGAAUAAGCACCGGCUAACUACGUGCCAGCAGCCGCGGUAAUAC